UGCCCCUCUAGCUCAACGGCAGAGCAGCGUCCUUUUAAGUCGUGGGUUCAGGGUUCGAAUCCCUGGGGAGCAC
Molecule: transfer RNA, 73 nt
Filed under: Scardovia inopinata
Lineage: Bacteria; Bacillati; Actinomycetota; Actinomycetes; Bifidobacteriales; Bifidobacteriaceae
Description: tRNA-Lys(ttt)
Rfam family: tRNA
About the family: Transfer RNA (tRNA) molecules are approximately 80 nucleotides in length. Their secondary structure includes four short double-helical elements and three loops (D, anti-codon, and T loops).
Source: RNAcentral